GCCGGGGUGGCGGAAUUGGUAUACGCGACGGAUUCAAAACCCGUUCCCGUGAGGGUUGAGGGUUCGACUCCCUCCUCCGGCA
This 82-nucleotide transfer RNA is filed under the name Patescibacteria group bacterium. RNAcentral describes it as "tRNA-Leu". It matches the Rfam family "tRNA". Rfam says of the family: Transfer RNA (tRNA) molecules are approximately 80 nucleotides in length. Their secondary structure includes four short double-helical elements and three loops (D, anti-codon, and T loops). The record is from RNAcentral.